UUACCCUCUAACCACAUAUCGC
This 22-nucleotide non-coding RNA is filed under the name Arabidopsis thaliana (thale cress). Lineage: Eukaryota; Viridiplantae; Streptophyta; Magnoliopsida; Brassicales; Brassicaceae. The record is from RNAcentral.